UUGAAAGGGAAACGAUUGAAGUCAGUCGUACCGACGAGAAAUCAGCUUUUCGAAUGUGCAUUUGUGGGCGUAUGAGAUCUUCAUUGUUUGCAAUAUGUAUGUUUCUUUGGUGUACUUUUUCGUAUGGUAGGUCAAUGUCGGUUUUGAUCGCCAUAAAAUGAUCGGAGGAAUGUAGCUUCGGCCUCGGUUGAAGUGUUAUAGCCUUUGGUAAAUGUGGUGAUUAAGACCGUGGAUUGCAACGAAUACCUUUUAGGCUAUCCGUCUGACCUCUGAAAGUUACUUAGGUGCCGAAAGCUUGCUUACGGUCAUUUAAGUUGACGGUCAAUAGGUUAGAACGUGAUUACAUUCGUUAAGGAUGUUGACGUA
RNAcentral lists this ribosomal RNA (366 nucleotides) under uncultured Glomeromycotina. Its description in RNAcentral is "LSU rRNA". The record is from RNAcentral. Lineage: Eukaryota; Fungi; Glomeromycota.